RNAcentral lists this ribosomal RNA (454 nucleotides) under uncultured bacterium. Its description in RNAcentral is "bacterial SSU rRNA". It matches the Rfam family "Bacterial small subunit ribosomal RNA", at positions 330 to 799 of the family's 1533-position model. The record is from RNAcentral.
UGCGAACUCCUACGGGAGGCAGCAGUGGGGAAUAUUGGACAAUGGGCGCAAGCCUGAUCCAGCCAUGCCGCGUGAGUGAUGAAGGCCCUAGGGUUGUAAAGCUCUUUUGUGCGGGAAGAUAAUGAUGGUACCGCAAGAAUAUGCCCCGGCUAACUUCGUGCCAGCAGCCGCGGUAAUACGAAGGGGGCUAGCGUUGCUCGGAAUCACUGGGCGUAAAGGGUGCGUAGGCGGGUCUUUAAGUCAGGGGUGAAAUCCUGGAGCUCAACUCCAGAACUGCCUUUGAUACUGAGGAUCUUGAGUUCGGGAGAGGUGGGUGGAACUGCGAGUGUAGAGGUGAAAUUCGUAGAUAUUCGCAAGAACACCAGGGGCGAAGGCGGCUCACCGGCCCGAUACUGACGCUGAGGCACGAAAGCGUGGGGAGCAAACAGGAUUAGAAACCCCGGUAGUCCAGAUG